CGGGUGCCUCACCUGCCUGGCCCUGGCGGGGAGGGAAGACCCGCAGCCCCUGCGCUCAAAACGGGGAAAGGGCACCUCACCUGAACCCAGAACACCUGAAGACAACCAACCCGGCUCGGGUGCAGGAGUGUGAAGAAGUCGUGCUUAGCGAUGGGGAAUUACAGCAGCGAUGCCGCCUUCCUUUGCUACCCCAGUAAAGGGGCACCAGGAGGCGCGACCUGCGCGAAAUGACUCUCUUCUCCCCCAGCUCAAAACCUCAGGGUAACAAUGUUCCAGGCCCUCAGCAGCCCUGUGCAAUGAAAGACUGACACCUCUGCCAAGAAAGAAAGCCUCUCACUAAAGCUCCCAGGAUUGGAGAGUGUUCUUAGGAGAACCAGCCUCUGCCAGGAGACAAGAAUGGUUUAUUUUGAUGGCAACAUCCGCACACGUGUGUCCCUGCAUAUCCGGGGCCCUGGCUAUGUGUCAGUUUCUUGCUCAGAGAAGCUGUCAUUGGGAUUCUGUGGGGGAAAAUGUUCCAAAAAGAAUCAAUCAAUGCUGCCAGCAACAAGUUCAAUACCACUGCACUGAGUCCCCCUGCUCUGUAUCAGUGCAUGAAUGAAUUAUUGGUGCUCAUGUAAU
This is a long non-coding RNA of Suricata suricatta (meerkat), 618 nucleotides long. RefSeq lists it as uncharacterized. NCBI's taxonomy places the organism in Eukaryota, Metazoa, Chordata, Mammalia, Carnivora, Herpestidae. The record is from RefSeq and is a predicted model, not a curated record. The transcript is spliced from 3 exons.